Long non-coding RNA from Fundulus heteroclitus (mummichog), 1721 nucleotides. RefSeq lists it as uncharacterized. NCBI's taxonomy places the organism in Eukaryota, Metazoa, Chordata, Actinopteri, Cyprinodontiformes, Fundulidae. The transcript is spliced from 4 exons. The record is from RefSeq and is a predicted model, not a curated record.
ACCCCCAAUACUUCUCUUAAGUUUCUCAAGAUCUUCAUCUAGAGGGAUCCCAUAAAUCACUCCUCUAAUCUUUUUAUUUUCUCCCAACACUUUUUUCUCCAACACAGUUUUUUUUACAAAUAUUAUCCACAUUUAAAGCCUUAUUCAUUUGUUCUUCGUUUUUACAGACAACCAAUAGGUUUCCAUCUCGCAAAAUCUUUACCAUUUCGACAUCUCCAAUUUUCUUUUUUAUUUCUCUUGACACCACAAUGGGGCUGAUGUUAUCCUGUUCCUGUUCAUUUUAAAAUUUUAAUAUUAUUUUAAAUUCCUCCCUCACAAGUUUCCUCCAAACUAUCCUUUCUUCAUCCGAACUACUUCCUUCCAGUUCUCGUUUACUGCCUUGAUUUUCCUUUCCUUCAUCUGUUUUAUUUCUUCCACGUCCUCUCCCUCUUCCUCUUCCCACUGGCGUCCACCCUUCUAAAUCCAUACCUUCCUCUAUUUCUACCUCCAUUUCCACCAGAACCAUUCACAUACCAGUUUAUGCCAAAUCCACCUUUUCCAAAUCCGAUAUAUUUUUAUGUUUUGUUUUUCCCGCGCCGCUCCAAAUCCAACUCUUCCGACCUCACACUUCCGCCUCCAACCAUAGACAUAAUCAGCGCCAUAGAGAUUGGACAUCAUUCACUUCCAUUGCUGACUCUCGAGUAAAUUCUGAGCUCCAGCCAGCAUAAACACCAGUGCAUGCGUCGCUUGUCCUUGGUGGUCAGGCAGCGUGAUGUUGCCAAAUAGCCUCCCCGUUCCCAGAUGGAGCUCCACGCCUGGAGUAAUGGACAUUUCAUCUAAGGUAAGCACACACUCUCUCUACAUUUCACUCAUGCAACCUGCCUUCAGCAUCAGCAUCUCAAACACUUCCCCCAAAACUCCCGGCUCCAGCUUUACAUGUUGCAUCCUCCUUUGCAGCGUGCGGAUGUUAGGCAGUGGAAUUUGCAUUUUCUGGAGGGUUUUAUAACCGGUGGUGCCAGUGUUGCCUUAUUAGGUCCUCCACAAUUGCACUAUUAGACCCUGGCAGUCUGGUCCCUGGAGCACCUGGCCCUGGCAAAGUUGGUUCAUCGUUGCUGGCUCCUGACUGACUGGCCCUCGGCACACACAUCCCUGGAUCACCUGCCCCUGGUAAAGUAGCCUCUUGGUCGCUCUCUCUGUCUCCUGUCAUGUCCCUUUCCCUGCCCUCAAAAUCCACCUCAAUUUCUCCCUCAACCUCUGUAACAAUAACAAGGUAAUGUUGCUGUUAUAUGUAUUUUGCAUUUGCACCUACUGUUAUCUUCAAUAAAAGGGUACACUACACUCCUAUAGAAAACAAAUUAAAGCGAAAAAUUACUGUAAUGUGAAUCAAAUCAUCUGCCACAAUCAGAAACCAAAAAAAUUUAUAAACUCAUCUACUGGCAAUGGUUAAUUUGGUAGAAAUUUUUAGAUUAUCUACAUUCUGUAUGCAAAUCCUCAGAGAAUCCCUGAAGCUGGAUGUACUAAUAUGAAUGUAAUGUCUCAUUAGGAGUGUAGUCUAUCCUUGAAUUACAUUAAAUGGGGAAUAUUUUUAGUGUCCAGGACUCAGAUGAAGAGGAUGUUAGUAUGCGUUGUUGAGAGGAACUGCCCUACAGUGACUGGCCAUAGUGCUUACUGGAACUCUACAGAUCUUGCUGGACCAGCAGUAUCGUUUUUGUGGCCAUCACAGGUUUCAGUGGAGCACCCCC